Molecule: ribosomal RNA, 253 nt
Filed under: uncultured bacterium
Lineage: Bacteria
Description: partial 16S ribosomal RNA
Rfam family: Bacterial small subunit ribosomal RNA
Source: RNAcentral
UACGGAGGGUGCGAGCGUUGUCCGGAUUUAUUGGGUUUAAAGGGUGCGUAGGUGGCUUUUUAAGUCAGUGGUGAAAUACAGCCGCUCAACGGUUGAGGUGCCAUUGAUACUGAAGAGCUUGAAACAAGUGGAGGCUGCCGGAAUGGAUGGUGUAGCGGUGAAAUGCAUAGAUAUCAGGAAGAACACCCGUGGCGAAGGCGGCUCUCUGGGACGGUACUGACGCUGAGACGCGAAAGCGUGGGGAGCGAACAGG